RNAcentral lists this long non-coding RNA (42346 nucleotides) under Setaria italica (foxtail millet). RNAcentral describes it as "long non-coding RNA (SITA_LNC004215)". The stretch from base 33294 to 33366 matches the Rfam family "tRNA". The record is from RNAcentral. Lineage: Eukaryota; Viridiplantae; Streptophyta; Magnoliopsida; Poales; Poaceae.
UCUACAACGCUUAUUGAGUAAUUGCACUAGCACGCACGAUGUAUAACCAAGAAAUCAACCGAGAUAAAUAAGCAUUAGGAGCACGUAGGCAUAUACAUUAGACGAUGAGUUCCUCCUCCUUGUGGGUCUCGAUGACGACGUCGGAGGUGGGGUAGGCGGCGCAGGUGAGCACCCACCCGGCGGCGACCUGGUCGUCGUCGAGGAAGCUCUGGUCGGACUGGUCGAUGCUGCCGGAGACGAGCUUGCCGGCGCAGGAGGAGCAGGAGCCGGCGCGGCACGAGUAGGGCAGCUCGAUCCCUUCCUCCUCGGCGUGGUCGAGGAUGUAGACGUCGUCGGGCACCUGGAGCUCCACCUCGCCGUCGGGAGUGAUGAGCUUGACGUUGUAGGUCGCCUGCGCGCGCAGCCUGGCUCCGCGGGGAGCCUUGGCCGGCAGCGGGACGGUGGACGGCGCCGGCGCCGGGGCCGCGCGGAGGGCGAAGCAGGCAGGCGCGCGGAGGCUGCUGAGCACGGUGGCCAUUGCGGACUUGCGGCGUGUGUAGUGAAGGGAGAGCUUGGAGCUGGAGGAGUUGGAGCUAUUAGCAGAGGCGAGCAGCAGCUAAUGAUGAUAGCUUAUAGGUAGCUAAAAGCGAGAUGAGGUGAAAUGAAGGGUCGGGGUGGGUGUAGCGUGAAGGGGAGGGCGGGAGGCUUAUCUUCUUGGUCGGGACCAGGACGACAUCCGUGGGGGAAAUCAACUACUCGAAAGUCGAAAUACAGCAGGGCCACACGCUAGACUCCAAACGUCAUCGAGAAUUCUCCGACCAUGAAUUUCACCAUGAAAUUCGCUAGUAAAAAUAUAACUUCUCCUCACCGAUCACAUUUGAAUCCGGUACUAAUGUUAAAAUUUGCCGGAGGUCCUUUUGUACCGAGUGGGGUUUCCAAUUGGUACUAAAGUCCCCUUUUAAUGGUUGGAAACCCCACCCAAUACUAAAGCCCCGUCUGCCGCCGGCCCUCCCCCACUCACACGCGCCUGCAUUAUCUCCUCAUCCAGUACACUUCUCCUUCUCUUCUCUCAUACUCCCUCUCCUCUUCCUAUCCUCUACUCUCCUCCCUCACACUCCCUCUCCCAGAUCUGCCUCUCCUCCGCUCGCCCCUCACCGACGAUGAGGAGUGGCGGCGUCGGGCCGGGGCGGCUGCGACGACGCAGGAGGGGCGCGGCAGCGGGAGCAGUGGGGUGGAGCAGGGAGCGGAGAGGAGGCGGUGAUGGGAGAGUGCAGCAGAGGAGGGGGAGGAGGAGGAGGAGGCGGAGGGGGCUGGCGGCGGGCGGAGGGAGGCCGGGACCGGCGGGGGAGGGGGGGGUUCUUCUUUUUUAAUUUUUUUAACACCCUCUAGUACAAGUUAUCUCAAUCGGUACUAGAGGAUCCCCCUCGAGUACAGGAUUGCUACCAGUUGCAGAAUCGGUACUAGAGGGGGGUUGGGAACCGACAAUAGAGGUUAUUUUUUAUAGUGAUUACUCAAAAUAGUGACAGAGAAAGUAGUAUUCAUUGUAUUCUCACGUACUCCCUCCGUUUAUUUUUAUAAGGCGUGAUAUGGCAUGGCACGUACUCCCAAAUUACACUUUGAUCAUUAAUUUAUCUUAUAUUAUAUUGUUUAUGACUAUAAACUUAUAAUCAUUGGAGAAUACAUUUGAUUGCAAAUCCAACCAUUUCAAAUUUAUACCAUAAAAAUAAAAAAAUAUUGGUUAAAUUAUUAGUCAAAGAUAGCAAACUUUUACAUUUGAUAUGCGCAUACGCCUUAUAUACAAACAUGAACGGAAGGAGUAGAAAAUAGACUGUGUGCGCCAGUCACUGCCCAUUGGUUGGUUGAGCGUGGCGUGUGGAGGCCACGGCCUCGAUCCAGGGCAUAUGCUUCUUUCGGUCCUUAGCAGUUGGCGGUAUCACGUGGUUCUCGUCAAUUUUUGUGUAUCUGGCCAGAGAUCUAAAUUACAUGUAAUUUUACAUGUAUGAAAAAUUAGUCAGUUCGCUGGUUAGCUUUCCAUGCCAACCAUGGAUCUCUUUUCUCUUUUCUUUUCUUUCUCUUCUUUUCUUCUCUCCCUGGUGAUGAGUGAUGGGUGGGUGGGUGGUCAGCAAAAACUAGCGAGCCUGCUGCAAAAACUAUGGCAUGGAAAGCUAACCAUCGAUAUAGUAUCAGUAUAAAAACUAGUGCCUGCUCCGUUAGAUUAGGUGGAAAACUCUAGUCAGUUCGCUACUGAACUACGGAUUGAUAAACUUUAGAUGGAAUACUCUAAGGAAAAAGUUACGAUAAUCCGUGCGCUUGCGAUUCACAAAUUGAUGCGCUAACUGCCGCCAACAAGCUUUUCCGGUGCUGUUGCCAGGGAUCAGCAACUCGAACCCUAGGGUGAGACUAACUCUAAUUUUUCUAUUGCAUAUCCUGUUUUUCUUGUUUGCGUCCUUAAAAGCAAGUAAAUACUAGACGUCAUAUAAUCGAACAUGGACUUUCAAGUCUCAAUUCACUCCGAUAAGAUGAUAACAACAUCGAGCUCAACUCUUUAGCAGUAGGUGAUAACUUGUUAGUGGCCCAACAUCUGUUAUUGAGUCCACACCAAUGAACACAAUACAAAUGCUUAUAAGCAAGUGGCACAUAAUCUGAGAUGGGCUUAGCAAGUGGUAAAACCAUGGUGUUGGGAUAUGAGGAUGUCCAGUUAACAGAGGUGAAAAACUAAUCAAGUUGCUCAAGUAAAGGAUCUUGCUGCAUGUUGCUCCUGGUAAAAGUCCUUCACUUAAUUGGUAAUUCAAUGAGGCCCAGCUGCCCAAUGACGUCAUUAAAUAGCAAGGUAUCCAGAAAAUUACCACCCAAUUUGUUCAUGUCAUCCAGAGAUAUGUAGAAAUUGAAAUCCCCUAGGAAGAUCCAAUUAUCCUCGGCCUGGUAAGACAAGGGGUGGAGGAAGGUUGUGAGCGUGAUACUAAAGGGUGCUUGUGUUGGUGUGUGUGGGGGGGGGGGAGGAUGGGGAUAGUGUCGCAUCUCAAAUGAGCUAGUCCUCUCAUUUGACAACCUCAGCCAUCAUAUUUGGAUCCAGUGAUUGCUUUCUUUUCUAUCUCCUCUCAAUCUGCAUUUUGUCUUCCUUGUAACUUCUCAGUUCUCAUGACAUUCUCCCAUAACCAGCACUUCUCAGUUCUCACAACAUUUCCCCAUGACUAGCACCUCCCGUUGGGCAUCUCCUCCCAACCAGCCUAACGGUAUCCCUCAUUGUCCCACCUUCCAGCGUGUUGUCUGCAGUCGCUACUAGCUUAGGCUAGGUUGCAGCCCUAACUGAGCUUUCUUUAAAGACCAGGGGACUACCUCCAAAACACUAUAUUCCAAAGGAAAUUCACCGUGUUGUAUGUCAAUUGAAUCUUGCUUCACUUCCAGGAGAUUGAGAUACGAGAAGUAUUGUCAAAUUAAUCCAUUUUGAAUAGGGUUCGACGAAUAGUGACAUGAAGGGGGACUAUGCACAUGGUAGGGGCAAAGGAACUCACAAGCUUUGAUAUGAGGUAGGGUUCGACGAAUAGUGACAUGGAGGGGGACUAUGCACCUGGUAGGGGUAAAGGAACUCUCAAGCUUUGAGAUGAGGUAGGCUAAGGCAAGAGGCGGAGAGAGGGUGCGAGGGGUGCUUGCGAUUGUGUGGUGUGUGGGAGGAUGGGGGUUGGCACAUGUUGAGGAAGUUUUGUAUACAUGUUAUAAUUUGUUGGUUUGGGCCUUAGGUUUCUAUCCAAGAGCAACAAAAAAUUUUGAACAAACAUUUCAAAAAUAAAUUAAAUUUGAAUAACUCUGUCACACACAUAUAUCCCCGUUGAUCUUGGUGGUCACGAUAAACUAGCUAGCCAAGUCCACACAUGCUUUCUUUUGAAUCAUUUUAUAGCAUGGCAUAACAAAUAGCAUCAGAUUCAGACGACUACUCAAGCUGCAUUUCCGUAGCACGUUUAGUCAGGUACAUACGUACACACACACACACAGAUAUAUAGUAUAUAUAUGUAUUGGUUGUACAAAAAUAAAGAGGAAAAACGUUAUUAAUUACUUGAGCGAAGCCUAUCAUGCAUCCGCAGUAAAAAUGAAUGAUACAGAGACCAGCAAUAAGCAGAGUAACAAACGAUGGAGAAGCUGCUGAUGCCGAUGCUUAAUUGCAAGGUCUCAUGGUGACACUGACAUGCAUGAUACAAGAAAGGGAAUUGUCCGGCGUCGUCAAACUCGAUCUCUUGCAAGAGCAAGACAGAUACUAGAUAUAGCAAGCGCGUAGCAGGUAGUGAUCGAGCUUCUUAGAUGAGCUCCUCCUCCUUGUGCGUCUCGAUGACGACGUCGGAGGUGGGGUAGGCGUGGCAGGUGAGCACCCACCCGGCGGCGACCUGGCCGUCGUCGAGGAAGCUCUGGUCGGACUGGUCGACGGAGCCGGAGACGACCUUGCCGGCGCAGGAGGAGCAGGAGCCGGCGCGGCACGAGUAGGGCAGGUCGAUCCCAUCCUCCUCGGCCUGGUCGAGGAUGUAGACGUCGUCGGGCACCUGGAGCUCCACCUCGCCGUCGGGGGUGAUGAGCUUGACGUUGUAGGUGGCCUGCGCGCGCAGCCUGGCGCCGCGGGCGACCUUGGCCGGCAGCGCGACGGUGGCCGGCGCCGGCGCCGGGGCGGCGCGGACGGAGAAGGCCGGCGCGCGGAGGCUGCUGAGGGCGGUGGCCAUUAUUGUGCUUUGUGGUUGCUAGGUAGCUGCAGCAGCUGAAGCAAUGGAAGAAUCGGCCACACACACCUAGGGAUUAGGGAAGGAAUGAAGGAGCAAUGGAGGGGCGGGUGGCCGGCCAGCGAUUUAUCGAUAGAGAGGAAGGAGGGGGUGGGGUGCCACGUGGCGGGCGGCGAGUGGGCGGCUUAUCUGCGGCGGGAUCGCCGGAGCAAGGAGGUUCACACGCUGCUCAUCGUCAUCGAUGGGCGUGUGGAGGCCACGCAUACAGAUCGAGCAAGAACAUGUUGGUGCUCUGAGCUAGAACAGUGCAAUGUGCUACUGUCCACACAUUUGGCUGUGGUUGGUUUUUGGCCGGAUUGAGGUUUUAAGGUCACGGGAUCACUGCGAUGCAGAGGCCACUAGCUUGCUUGCGCCUUUGAUGGGUGGUUUGUGGCCAUCAUUGUUGGCAGAGUUCUUUGAUUGUGAACACACAUCUAAUAAAGUGCUAUCUAUCACACCAAUCAUCCUAACUUGUUUCUUCUAAACACAUUAAUUACAGAUGUACAGACACAUAUACAUGUACGCACAUACAGCUUCAUUAUCACAUAUUGGCAUGUCAAGUCUUGUGAUUGAAAAGGCCACGCUUGCCACAUUCCUAAAAUAAACUCAGUAAAAUGCAAGUAAAUCUGCUAAGCCUAGAAUUUAGAAUAGAAUUUAGCGGCAGCUGGUUAGACUCAUUGUGGUGGAACCUACCCAUCCGGAUUCGAUCCGUUAACUCGGCACAGGCGUUCAUAUUUUCUUGAAUUUAGGAAGAAAUUGAUACUAUACUUUCAGGGCUACGUGCUUGUCGAUAGUGAGUUGUUAGUCUAUCCAAGGUGCUCAUAAGGGUAGGAGUACAUGUGUAUAUAUGUAGAGGUAAGUAUGUGUGCGUGUAUGUGAGCAUUUGCAUCUGUACUUUACUAUUCGAAUUUUUUUUUUAUAGUCCAGCACGCUGAGGGGUGUUUCAACUCAAAUUUGAUGUUUAUUACGAUGUUGGGCUGGGGAAACGUGCUGCUUUCCUUUUGUGGGCUUUUAGUACUGGCAUCGGCGGCGGCGCGUGAAUGUCUAAUUAUUCAAAAAAUUAGACAUCACAUCCCAAAUGAUGGCCCAGCCCAGUACGUGCCUACCCGGCCUGUCAGUUUGAAGCCAAGCACGUAUGCAGUAUGAACGUGCUGGAUGCCAUUCCUGUCUGCUGCUGUUUGCUGCUGGUUCAGGUUGGAGGUUGUUGGUCAAUGAAAAUGAGAGACAACGCGGAGAAGAAAUCAACAACGCGUUAUGCAUUCGAUGGAUGCAUGUCGUCGUUCUUGUAAUUAACAUUGUUUGACUUGAUAUAAUUUUUGUAGCUUUUUUAAUAAUGAAUAGUAAUUCCAGCUUCGGUCCCCUUCGAAGAGGAGCUUCGGUCCAAAUUUAUUACAGAACGUAGCACACUGCUACUUGUCGGGAGGAGUUUCAGUCCAAAUUUAUUACACAACGUAGCACACUACUACUUAUCACAACAGGUUCAGACAAAUGUAAACCACUCAAAAAUCAGUUGUUAAAUUGAAGGACUAUCCAUUGGAACUAAAAAACGCAGUGCUGCCAUUUCCAAAGAACAACAUGCCAUUCACUGGAACUAAAGAAACGCAGUGCUGCUAUUUCCAAAGAACGGCAUGCCGAAACAACGGAUUCUUGGUCAUUCUCACUUUGCUGCAACUCGAGGCCAAUGCGUUCCCCUGAAUAGUACAUGAAAAAAAAAGUUUUCGGUCAGCAUUUAUAAAAACCACCUCAUUUCUAGUCAACCAUAUCGCCCAGCAUAAAGCUGCACUCCCCAUCAAUAAAUAAUGAUUUGGCUUGUGUCCCCCUUGUUUAGCCCAUUGGUUAAACAUAUUGCUUAUAUUCAUCGGUGGAGAUAAGCCAAAUACCAUAUGAACAGCACGUCGGAGAAGUUUGGCAUAAUGACACUUGAAGAAAACAUGGUCGAUGGACUCCACUGAACUACAAAAGCUACAAUAUUUGUUCCCAUUCCAAUUUCUCCGAGCAAGGUUAUCUUUUGUUAAAAUAACACCAUUUUUUAGAUACCACAUGAAGAUCUUAAAUCUUUAAAAGUAUUAUCAUAUGCCAAAUUUCCUAUGUGACUUUAAUCCCAUUACUGACGAGAUGUUUAUACAUAGAAUGUACAGUGAAUGAGCCAUUUUUAUGAAGGGACCAAUUAAAAGUAUCUCUCCCUUCGCAUAGGUUGACAUGUAUAAUUUUACCCACCAGGUUGUACCAUUCUAGUAGCUUAAUCCCCACUAGUGAUCUCCUGAAGGAAAUAUUUAGUGGUGUAGCAUAGAAGACAUCAGCCACUGUAGCAUGUUUCUUUCGCACUGUAUGGUACAAGUUAGGAUAUUGAGACUUUAAUGUCCUAUUUCCUAACCAUUAUCCCCCCCCCCAAAUCGGGUUUGUGCCCCAGGCAUAACCUUAAAGCGCCCCAAAUUGAGGAAGUCCUCCUUGACGCCCAUUAAACCCAUCCAAAACUGUGAAUCACCCGGUUUCUUAUAUACCUGGCCUAGAGGUUUAUUUCUAAGGUAUUUCUUCCUUAGUAAAUCCUGUCAAAUUCCCUCCUCAUUACAAAGUUUAAACAACCACUUGCUUAGUAGACAUCUAUUUUGUGUCUCUAAGUUCAUUAUCCCCAGGCCCCUAAUCCUUCGGGUGACAUAGUAAGUCCCAUUUCGCUACUCUAUAUUUUUUCCUGUGCUGAUCAUUCUGCCAAAAGAACCUUGACCUGAAGUGCUCUAUAUUUUUAGGACUCCCUUCGGGACCUCAAAAAAUGGCAACAUGAACAUGGGUAAGCUGAUUAAUACAAAGUUAAUCAGCACUAAUCAUCCCCCAACCGAGAACAUCUUUCCUUUCCAUCCACUAAGUCUUUUUUCAAAUCUACCUUCAAUAGUCCUCCAAUCCUUAUUACUUAGUUUUCUAAAGUGCAUUGGUAUGCCCAAAUAUCGAAAAGGGUAAGAGCCUAGUUUACAACCGAACAAAAGUGAGUAUGUAGACUCUUGCUCCCUUGCUUGUCCAAAGCAGAAGGUCUCAGUUUUAUGAAAAAUUAUUUUAAGACUACAUAAUUGUUCAAACAUACAUAAAAUCAGCUUCAUAUUUUUUACUUGUUCAAUAUCAUGGUCCAAAAAAAUCACCGUAUCAUCUGCAUAUUGCAAAAUCGAGAGCCCGUCUUCUAUUAAUUAAAUGUGGAACUACCCCUUUUACCUAUUCUUCAUUUUCAGCCCUUGCAAUGAUUAUCGCUAGCAUGUCCACCACUAUAUUAAAUAGUAUGGGAGACAGCGGAUCUCCUUGCAUGAGGCCUUUCCUUGUUUGGAAAAAAGGACCCAUCUGGUCAUUAACUUUAAUACCGACGUUCCCCCAUAGUGAAGGCUUUAAUCCAAUUACACCAUGUGGUUGAAAAAACCUUUCGUACUUAACGUUUGCUGUAAAAAUCCCAUUUCACCUUAUCAUAGGCUUUUUCAAAAUCUAUUUUAAACACUAUACCAUUUUGCUUCUUAGUAUGUAGCUCAUGCAAGGUUUCAUGUAAGAUGACAGCUCCUUCCAUUAUAUUUUUUCUUGGUAGGAAAGCUGUUUGUGACGGUCUAAUAAUCUUUUGUGCUACCUUGGACAUUCUGUUUGUGGCUACUUUUGUAAAAGUUUUGAAGCUCACAUUCAGUAGACAUAUUGGUAUGUACUGUUGAAUUUGCUUCGCUACACUACGCUUCACUAUAAUUUUUGUAGCUAGUUGUAGCAACCAAUUCCAUGCUUUUUUUAGUGCGUUGCUUGGCUAAAAAAGAGUGAGAUUUUCAGAACAGGUAUACACUACUAGCUACUCCCUCCAUUCCAAAUUGUAGGUCAUUUUGACUUUUCUAGAUUCAUAGAUAUUAUUAUGCAUAUAGACAUAAUUACGACGGUGAAAGCAUCUAUGCCCCUAAUUUGAGUUUUGGUAAUUAAUGACAACCUUCGUGGACUAACAAUUUCAUUGGAGAUAUGAGUUUAGGUUAGUCCCGGAAUUGAAUUGAGUUUCAAUGGAUGCUAUGGUGAUAGCUUGGAUGAGUUUACAAUAGAAAGCUUAAGGCAAAGGUAUAUGGUAGGGCUUUUCUAUUUUACCGGUCAAGAGGUGUUUAGUGGAUGAUAAUUGACCGGGUUAAUAGGCUAGAUAGCCCUACUAUCAAGAGGGGUCAAUUUUAUUUUCUUGACGGUUCAAUACUGCCACUUUGCUCAAACAAUUGCAUUGCAUGCAUAUAGGUCUAUCUUGUUUGAAAAGUGGGUAAAAUGAUGGUAAACAUAUGUUUUGAAAAUGGCUAACAUGAUGUGUAAGGAGGAUGGUCUCCUUUGUGAAGGCGGACCGUUAUUUGACUUUGCCAUAUCUUUGAAAUAGUUUUGUUGCACUAAAAAUCUAGAGGGCGGACGGUCCGACCCUGAGUAGGCAGACGGUCCGCCACAUGACUUGUUUUUAGAUAGAACCGGUUCUUGUUCUGGUGGGCGCAGGUUUAUAAAGGUGGACGUUCCACCCCCGGUUGGCGGACGGUCCACCACAUGAUCAGAAAUUUGUAUAGAACCAUUCUUGGUUCUGUGUGGGGCUGCGAUGUGAACGGCGGACGGUCCGGAUGUUGGUAUUUAGACCUGAUAACCUACCGAGGGGGGUGCCGAGGUAGUGUUUUAGUUAGUGGAGCUUGUCGAGAUCAGGAACUCGAAGGUAAACGCAGACACACGAUUUAGAUAGGUUCGAGCCACUAGAUUGCAUUGAAGGGGUCCCUACCUCACCUUAUAUUGCUGGGGGGUAGGGUUACAAGUCGGUUGGUUACAAGAAUACAGAGGAGUUCUACUCUUAUUACAACAAGUACUUUCCUAAUGCUCAACUAGUUCCUAUCUUUCCAUGUAGAGUACGUCGUCCUGCGUUAUGGUCUCCAUGUCAGAUGCGUCUCGGUGUCCAGCCCCAUAUUCAGGACUGUCCAAACCUACUGGUGGGCCCAUAGAUGCAUGUACGGCACCGGUCCCUAGGGGCGGACGGUCCGCCAGCUAACUUUGAGAGUUAGACAGAACCAUUUUAGUUCUGAGUGCUGGGCGAAGUUGUAAGGCAGACGGUCCGCCAGUUUUGGAUGGACGGUCUGCCGUACAAAUCUUCAUCAUGGACAUGUCUAGCAGCUCCCUGUGUGCUUGUAAAUUUGAACCGCAGAUGGUCCGCGCCUGUAAGGGUGGACGGUCCCCCUGUGCUGCAACUGUCAUUUCUAGCAUGCAUUUAUUGCGCUUGUAGCUAUUGGGAUGAACGGUGGACGGUCCACGCUCAUAGAGGCGCACGGUCUGCGAAUCCCCUGUUUUCAUGAGUUUUGAACAUAACGGCUAGAUUUGGGGAAGGCUCUAUGAAAGGAUCAUGCCCGGGCGUGGGAGAGCUCUCUUGGCACUUUGGAAAGAAUUCUUGACAUACUUGUGCCUUCUUCCUUCUCUCUCUUACUCACUUUGCUUAGAGGUUGAAUUCUUGUGAGAUUGAAAGUAUCCUAGUGCAUUGCAUCAAGAGUUUGAGCUUUGUGGCAUUAGGGAGUCUUCAAGCAAGCGUCAUCGACUUGUUACUCUUGGAUGUUGCUGCCUCCUAGACGGCUUGGAGAUUGUGGAGCCGUUGAGCCCUUCAAGAAGAUUGUGAAGGAGCCUCGGCUAUUCUUUCCUAGACGGCUUGGAGAUUGUGGAGCCGUUGAGCCCUUCAAGAAGAUUGUGAAGGAGCCUCGGCUAUUCUUGUGAGAGGUCCUUGUGCUUACCUCGUUGGAGUGGUGAAUAGCAACUCUAGUGGAAUCGAAGUUUUGUGAGAUUCUUUGAAUCAAGCCGGCUCAAGAUCAAGCGAAGUCUUAGUCGGUGUUUUAUACUCGUCAACCUACCGAGGGGUAUCCCGAGGUAGUAGAUUGGUUGGUGGGGGAUCGCCGGAUCUGGAACUCGAAGGUAAAAGCGAGGACACAAGACACAUAUUUAUACAUGUUCAGGCUACCAGAGUAGCGUAAUACCCUACGUCCUGUUUGGGGUGUUGUAUAUUGGGCCCUACGCUUGGGUGUUGUUUGAUGUGAGGAUUUGGUCCUCUAUUGUGGUUCUCUGAGGUCUUCGCCUACCGAUCUAGGCACCCCUACCCUCCUUUAUAUACUUAGGGGUGGGAUUACUAGUCGGUUACAAGGUAGGAGUCCUAGUAGGAUUACAAGGUAUGAGUCCUAGUAGGAUUAUAGAGGAAUCCUAGUAGGAGUCCGUCUUCUUCCUUCCUUGCAGGUACUAGGGAUCUAUCCCCGACAGUCUUGAUAGAGGAGCGGUUGAAACAUUGAAUCUACCUCAACGUGGAUUAGGAGUGACCGGCAAGUUAUCGACACCACGGGAUAAAUUCGUCUCUUGUCUUCGGUUAUUUCUUUGCUCAAUUUUCAUAUCGCAAUUUACUUUGAGGAAUUACAUUCCUAGAGAUUGAAUUGUAUCUCGUCACCCUAGGUUGCAAACCAGCACCUAGCUUUAAAAAAGAGUAGAAAUAUAAUUUCUCUUGUGUUACUAAUUAAAUUUAUUUAGUGUUGUGAUUUUAGUUAAAACUGUCUAUUCACCCUCCUUUAGUCGGUAUCCUAGAUCCUACAAACGGCCGAUUAUUAGAAACGACUGAAAAUUUGGAACAAUUUGGAACGAAGGAAGGAAGUAGAUCGAGAUCAAAACCGAUGUCACAUCUACAAAGUAGCUUGUCACCAUCCAAGCAGUGCUUGCUUUCUAUGCGGUUAAUUACGACGGCACGCAGAGAUAGAUAUUUGUUUCUAAAUUGAUCGAAAGAUAUCAUCACCGCCGAUUAUUAGAAGGUCUUAGUUGGAUUAAUAAUGAGUCUGUGUCUGUUUCAUGAGUUUUCACGGAUACCUAGUCCUACAACUCGAUCAAGCUGCAUGCGCAGCUGUCAAGCCCGGGACAGAUCAAUCCAGUGAUCGAUCGAUGGGCGCAUCAGAUAGAUCAAUCAUCAGGCAUAUGGAUGGAUGGAUUCCUUCCUCGUCAGGAUACUUCGUUUUCAGUUUGCCAUCUGUCGUGUUGCUUUUCAGACAGCAGUUGCAUGUAUCUUGUAAUUUGCUACUACUACCUCUCUCUCGAUCGUGUUGCUUCUCUACCAUCAUGUUCCCUCAUCCACAAGCAAAAUGGUCGAUGACUAGGUUGUUUCUUUCGUACAUAGUAAAGGACGAAGCCAAGAUAAAAAUGUUACUCCCUUCGUCCAUAAAUAUAUACAUAAAUAUAUACGAAGGUUAGAACAAAAUAGUAGUUAGUUAUACUUAAUAACAGCACCGAAAAUCUUUUAUUCAAUUACAAAAGUAGAGGAAAAAGCGCAAGGCAUUUUCACUUUCCCCCAAAUCCACUCAAUUUGGCCUGCACAAGAAAUAAAACACAUAUUGGCCUGCUUUAAGUAAUUUCUUGGCUGUAGCUUUGUUUCCACGCACAUGUCUCGUGCUCUACUACAUCGUUUAGUUAAUCAUACAAGAUAGCGUGUACGCAUACAGAGUAUAUAUUAAUCUGGUGUCUUUCUCUUCAGACAUGUCCGUAUAUAUUUUACUAUAUGGUAGUACGACAGCAAUAACAUACUAAUACUAUAUCGAUGCAUGGUUAGCUCCUGACUUGAGACAGUAGCAACUGAUUAUGCAUUAAAAAGAGUCUAAUUUAAUAAAGAAACAGAGAGAGAGAGAGAGAGAACUUUCCCGAGAACAGAUUAACAAUCUUUUGUACGUGACGUGAAGAUUGCUCCAACAAAGAUGGAAAUGGUCUCAGUCAAACCAUGCACGCUCUCUAUUUUUUUUUAAAUUGUUAUUAUAUUUUAGUGACAUCCAGUCAUGCUUCAGGUACACAUUGUGUAGCUCCUCUCUAAUUACCGUUAUUAGCUUCGAUAGAAUCCAGAUUUAUUUAACUAGGGUUAACUUUUAGAAAUGAAAAUGGUAAAAAUGUUGGGGCCAGAAAAUUUAUUAUCUGCAUUUUAAAUGGUGACAAAAUGUAUGCGCCGAUUCUCAGAAGGAAAUACGACGGGAGUAUAUGUUAUACCACCGCAGCAUAUAUCUAUUCCAAGGAAUAUUCCUGCCCAUCUUAGUGGUCAUCACUUGAUAAACUGAUAAUGAUGAUCUCCAAUGAAAUAAGGGUUAAUUAAGCACUUAAGAUCGAAUUAGGUCCAUAUAUAUUCGUACUUGUUGUAUUGGAUUUAAUCAUUUUUGCUUUGCUUAUAAGCAAGUCAAUUCGUUCUUGCCUUUUUCUUUUCUCUCCUUGUCCUGGACUCGUUGUCAGGGGAUCACAUAUGUGCAUGGCUGAUCUUCAGUCUCAGGAGAUGCUGAUGUGUCCAGUGUGCUCGCUCAUUCUUUAGACCAUCCAAGACAAUUGUCCGUCUCUAGAAAGGAGAACCUACCGUUUCUACUGUUCCCUUGGGCUAUUAAUGUUAGGCAAUUCUUUAUACUCCCUUCGUUCUAGUCGUUUUAGUAUUUUUAGUUUCAUCUAGAUAUAUGGGAUGUUUGGGGCUAAAUUUUAGUCGCUAUCACAUCGGAUGUUUGGACACUAAUUAGGAGUAUUAAACAUAGACUAAUUACAAAACUAAUUGCACAACCUCUAAGCUAAAAUGCGAGACGAAUCUAUUAAGCCUAAUUAGUCCAUGAUUUGAUAAUAUGGUGCUACAAAUAUGGUGCUACAGUAACCAUUCGCUAAUGAUGGAUUAAUUAGGCUUAAUAGAUUCGUCUCGCGAUUUAGCCUAGGGGUUCUGCUAUUAGUUUUGUAAUUAGCUCAUGUUUAGUCUUCCUAAUUAGCAUCCAAACAUCCGAUGUGACAGGGCUAAAGUUUAGCCCCUGUUUCCCAAACACCCUCAUAGUAUAUGUCUAGGUGCAUAAUAAUAUCUAUGAAUCUAGAAAAAUUAAAACGACCUACAAUUUGUAACGGAGGGAGUAGUAAAAGUCAAUCUCUGUAUUACUUUCUGAUAACGAUUAGUCUAAUUAUAUGCAUUUACUAUAUUCUUAUUUAUUUGAAGUGUAUUUAAUUUCUUAGCAAUUCAUAGUAUAUAAUUGAUGCUUAUCAUAUUUACCAUACCACCUUUUUUUUGUAAGAUUAUGUUGAUUUACGUUGCCACAGACAUUGGAAAUACUACCAUGCAUUUUAUAUUUGCUUUGCUGGGUUACGGAGCUACUUGAUUGUCAUCAUCCCGAUAAGUAUGUCCGCUGAUAAGAGAUGACGUUACGAGUGAACAGACCUUUGCUGUGGAAGCGAAAGAUACUCUUGCUUUUGCUGUAUUAUUGUGCUUUGAGUAUGGUUUUGUCACGCAAGACUCGCUGAUUGUUUGUGGUGUCUUGCUGAUCAAUCCCACGUUGACAUGCUGCAUAUCAUGCAAAUCAUGAAGCGACUCGAAUCUCAUUUCUCGGAAUUCAAGCCUACACACCUCCGUGAUAAUUUCAGAAAAACUAUCACAUGCGAAUUCCUAUCUCAGAUAGUAUAAAUUCAUACCAACAUAGAAAUAUAGAAUAGCAACAGAGUCACAGUAUCAUAAAUAUCGAGUACAUUACUUCGGCACAUACCAGUAUAAGUCCAUCAGGAAUGAAUCAUGAAAGGUAAAACAUCUACGCAGCGAAAAUAUGAGCUAUAGCGAGCAUCAUCUCCAGAGGCGACUUGAGCGAGGGACCAUCCCUAGUCUUCCCAUCCAUUAUUGUCAAAGUCGUAGUCGGGCUCUGACCCUGAAAUGCCACCAUCUACCCGAGAAGCGGGUAGGCCAUGUCAACUCCCAAUAGCAGAAAGCCAAGGAAUUGGGGAAUAAUACUAUAUGAUGCAACAGCAGUAGUCAAGGAUGCAUCAAAGCAAUACCAUCUCCGAGGUCAACACCUCACAUCAAGGAAGUCAUCAUAAAUCACUAGAUCCUUCACCCAACAAUCCAGCACCCAAACACACUAGGCAAUGUGAGAGCUUCCACCCUCCACAUCUCAACGGCAAAUGCAGUCUAUCUCAAAAAGGAAGGUGGAAGUAUAAUAUAAGUCUAGUCAGAAGCAACGGUAGUCAACAGUACUAUCCAUAACCAGUGCACACGGACUAUAACUAUAGAUUUAUAUACUUUGUAGAGGUUGUACACUGUACCUGCACGGAUGGAGCCUGAACAGUAGCGUCCAAACCCCACCUAACGGCCGGAGCCCUAAUAAGUGGAUAGUACUCUCCUGUUUCCUCGAGUCUAGAACCGUCCUCAACUGCAGGGCAUGCCGUCACCAGUUGAGGAUCUCGAAGCUAUGAAACCUACCAACGUCGGGGUGCAGUCUGGUAAGAGCAUGUCAACGCCUCGAACUCUUUACACUAAUCCUCCAAUCCGCCUACAGGCUGAGCAUCAAGCGGAGAUGGGUGGAGCGGCGUCGCUCGAGGUGAGCGCGGCUGUGGGCGCCCACGCACAUGGCAAGGGGAAAAGGGCUUCUGGAAGCCUCCCUUGCCUCGGUCGGGCCUGCUGACGGGAGAUGCGGCCGUGGGUGCGGCGUGCUGCUGGGCGCUCAUGUGGCGUGUUGCUGGGCAAGGAAAGAAUGGGGGAGGGAGAGAGCGGCCGGGCGCAAAGGAAAAAGCAGAGGAGCAGCGGUGUCCGUGCAGGGAGGAAGAAAAAGGAACAGGGCGAGAAAGAGACGGCCAGGUGGGGCCUUCUCGUCAGCGACUAAGGGGCGCUCGUGUGCAAAGUUAGUCAUACUAGGUUUUUAUAAUUAAGUUAGUUUUAGUUUGUAUUUUGAGUUAGAUUCAAAAUACAAACACACCUUUGAGAACCAAAUAAAAUCCAAAUCACUCGUGACAAGCAUGUUUUAAAUUUAAAUGCACAAAUUUAAUUACUAACUUUCAAAUUUAGGGAAAGAAAUGAGGGUUGACUUUAAGUUUGACCAUGUAAUUAUAUGAAACACACAUUUAAACAAAUUUUUUUAAAUUUUUGCAAAAACUGGCACAAUUAAUAACACUCAAUUUGUAAGGAUACUACAUAUCAACUCUGCAUGGGUGUAGUAUAAUUCCUGCAUUAUAUAUGUCAAAUGAUAUGAUGGUGCCUAUCCAGUAGCAUAGUAGUAUUACUCAUUCCAAUCCUAAAUAUACUAAAUAUAUGACGUUUAUGAUAAAUAAAUUACUUUCAUAUUCAUAGAGCGAUCAAUUGUUUGUCAAAAGGAUUGUCCCAGCGAAACAAAACACACGAUAUAUAUUUAUGAACGGAGGAAGUAUUAGUUUGUGUGAUUCUAAUCGUGUUGAAGUCAUGCAUGGAGAGAGAUGCAACAAGACGAGAAUACGAUCGAUUGGUUGGGGACACGUUGGGCAGGCAACAUCACAGGACGAUGCAUGAUUGGAGUAGCGCGAUGCUAAGCUGGUAGGGGUGUGACUUAAGUGGAUAAAGUUAGAUUAGUCAUAUUUGGUAAUAAUAUAUAGGCUUUGCAUUGCUUGAUAUACGAGCCGUCGUGUACGUGUGUGGUUAUUUUAUUUUUUUUGCUGGUGAUUUCUUAUAUAUGUUGCUUGGUAUACGUACGCUACAGCAUGUACAUGCAUGAUUGUUUGCUUUUGCUUGCUGGUUUGUUCCAAGAGGGCAAUCUAUGAUUGCUACUAAGCCUCUUUGUGAGAGACGGGACGUUGUAAACUUGACGUCACCAACACAGGGAGGGUUAGAUCGAGAAACAUGGACAGAUGGCGACACAAUCUAUUUUUUUUCCUUACUUUGAAAGCUGUAGAAAAUCUCAGGCCAUGCAUCCUUAGCUUCUUGAAAAGAAAACGGAGAUAAUUACGAGUUGUCAACCAUAACACAUGUAUGAGGCAUGAACGAGAGGACUGGUUUUGAAUUAGUCACUGAUAGGUUUUUUUUCCUAGCAUCAUUAAAUACAUAUUAGAAACGGAGAAAAAGGACCCAUUUAUUAUUUGUAAAUAGGUCACAAGCACAGCCUGCUCAGAACUGCACAUUUGUAAAUAGGUCACAAGUUCGCAACAGAGCAAAAGCUACAGCACAGAGUAUGGGCUGCUGCGGCAGCUGCUUGAGGCUAGCAGCCGAGCGGCUGGGCUGCCAGUUGCAGCUGCAGCCGCUAAAGGCUGUUCCGAGCAGGCUAGACUAUGAAAUGUCAACCGUCUCAUGGGUUGAAUAAAAUGACAAUAUGAGGAUUAGCAUGUUUGGUUGGUCCUAUCACCUUUUGAUGUAUUCGUGAGAUGUUAGAAACGUGUAUAUGUAGGGAAAACCAUACCAUUUUUGUUAUUUUGUUUGUGUGAAACGGAUGAUGUACUGUUGCGAUACUAUAAGGGCUUGUUUGGCUGCCGGGGCUAAAUUAUAGCACAUGUCACCUUAGAUGUUUGGAUACUAAUUAGGAGUAUUAAAUAUAGGUUAAUUAUAAAACUAAUUGCACAGAUGGAGGCUAAUUCGUGAAACGAAUCUAUUAAGCCUAAUUAGUCCAUGAUUUGACAAUGUGGUCCUACAGUAACCAUUUAAUGAUGAAUUAAUUAGGCUUAAUAGAUUCGUCUCGCGAAUUAGCCUAGGGUUUCUGCAAUUAGUUUUAUAAUUAGCUCAUGUUAAAUCCUCCUAAUUAGUAUCCGAACAUUCGAUGUGAUAAUGGCUAAACUUUAACCUCUAGUAUCAAACAGCCCUAAAUUGCAGUUUCAACAAGUUUUAGUUUGAUUUGGUCUGAGCAAUAGGAAAGUUGAAGUUAGGGUCAGGGUUGCCUACCAAGGUGAACAGACGCGGCACCAACCUCCUCCCCUCCAGUCGAGUCGGUGGUGAGGUGGGGAGGAGGACACCUUGACCUGACCGCGUCGGCGCACGCUUACCAUUUAUUGCUACUUCCUAAUUAUUUUGAUUUAUUUAUUUACUACAUAACUAACUAACUAAAUAAAUAUGCAUACUUGAGAAAAUAAGAAAAAAAAAUCAAAGGAAAGGGGGGAAUAGAUAGAAGAUAGUUGUGGGUGGGGCCCACCGAAGCACGAAGAAGUUAGUAGCGGCGACAAGGAGGAAUAAUAACAAGCAGGAGUAGUAGUAUUUCAAUUUCUUUUGGUCAGCCGUGGGUGGCGUCUUCUUCCCGUCCUCCUCCUCCCUGCGCUUCCCUCUUUCGCCGCCCCGCCGAGGAUUCCAGCGCCGCCGCUAAUUGCGAGAGCCCGCCGCGCACGCAGCCAACCAGCCCCCCGAGGAUUGGAUUCCGUUCCAAUUCCACCCGCGGGGGAAGACGAAGAGGACUUCCAUCGAUUCCACCGGUAAUAAUAAGGUAAGAAGCCAACGGCACUGCCCCUCCCCCCUCCUCCGCCAUGACCGGACCAUCCACCGGUACGGUGUGUGUCAUUGGAUUCCAUUCCCUUCGCCUGGGGUGGGGGCGUGAAUUUCUCUUGUCGUGUUGCCGUCCGCCUCGUUAAUCCCCCCAAAGAGCACAGCUGGGCCACCUCCCUUCCCCCCCUUUUUUAAAUUUGUUUUGUGCUUGUAUAAACUAGCAAAUACUAUUUGGAUCUUGUUUUCGAUUAUUGCUCGCUCCAGUCCGGGGGCAGGCAGGCGAGGCUGGCAGGUUGGCCCUUCUUCCACCUCCCUCCCUCCCUCUGCUGCUGCUUCCUUGGGUUGCUUGGAUUCAUCGCCACCACCUUCCUUGCUGCUGCUGCUGCUUUCGAUUUCAUAAAUCUCUACACCAGUAAAUAUCUACUUCUAAUCAUCAAGUCAAGGGGGUUCCCUCCCGGCGAUCGCCUGCACGGAUUUGCAAGAAUUCCCCAAUCGAUUUGGGAGUUGAUUCUUACUUGUUCUUGGUGACUAACCAAUAUGAAUGCGCUCCAAUUCAACUCUUCCGUCUUCUCCAAGUUUAAUUGACCGGGUCUGCUGCUGUUGCCGCCAGGUCAAGCAAGCAGCAGAUACAUAGGCGGGCGGGCGCGGGGGAUCUCAUCCCAUCUCAUCCGCUUCCGCUCAGGCUGGCUCUGAGCCCCGCGCCGAUUCGGUUCCACGCGCCCCAACAGAACCGAAUAUCACCAGCACCUGCAAGGGCAUGUGACAGCCGCCGCCGCAGCCGCAGGCAAUGUGCUCCGACAUGGAUCAGCACCACCACCACGCAACCAGGUACUACUACUGUCUCUGCCCUUCCUUCCAUUGGACUCCUCAGCCUCCUCUGGAUUGUAACCCAUUCAGAUUAACUAAUCUAGUCCUGUGCGCCACCUGCCUCAAUGUUUGACUCUGCUCCUGCUCAGCCAGGUGUAUUAUCAUGUUAGUUGGAUCUCUUUGCACAAUACUUACUCUCCCCUAGUAUGUUGCAGCACGAAUGCAUCGGUCACUUGUUUGUUUCUUUGCCAACCAGCUAAGCCUGCACUAGAGCUUUAUUUAGUUUUGGAUGGCCCAAUAGAUAGCACAGGUAUAUGCUGCCCCUGAAUUAUCAUCUUCUUUAUUCUUGCCCAACAAACAGGGAGGCUGCGUCGGAGGUUUUACAUGCUAAUGGUGACCAUCGCAGUCUGCAUGCACCACAUCAUCUCGGACAGAAUCAGCCUGGGGAUACCAAUAAUAACCAGCAUCCAUCCACAGAUGACUGUUUUACCUCCAAUGCUUCAUGGCACAGAAAUGGCGGGAUGAGCCGCAAUCCAUCUGCAUCUUCUGUUGACAACCACUCGGUCAAGUCUGGGGAUGAUUCUGAUGGGGCUGAGAGUACCAAAGGCAGUGAUACGGAGAUUUCACGCCUGCUAAACGAUACCAUCUGGAUGCCACCUGAGGCCGCAGAUAAGGAGGAUGAGGCCGAGAGCUUCGACGACGAUGAUUAUAGCGACGGGAUCAAGUGGGGCCACUCAAGUUUCCCGUCCCCUGGUAAGGAACAUGACGCCAGCCCGAGCAAUCCGAGGGAGGAGCGGGAGAAGGCGAUGCUAGAAGCUAUGAAUGGCCAGCUCAAGAUACUUGUAAGCCGCUUCCUGGCAUCUGCUGGCAUCUCUUCUUCCAAGGAAGAGGGUAGCGACAGUUGGCUUGACAUCGUCACCUCCCUAUCAUGGGAAGCAGCGCUACUUAUUAAACCUGACGGUACCAUGGGAAAGGACAUGGAUCCUGGAUCUUACAUCAAGGUCAAAUGCAUAGCAUCUGGUACUCGCCGGCAAAGGUGAAUACAAUUUUUCAGCUAACCCUUUGUUUUCAGACCAAUGGAGUUUCUAUUUUUGGUUCAACCUUCAAACUGUAUCCCUUCACCUGGCAAUGUACUGGUUGCAGUGAGGUGAUCAAGGGGUUAGUCUUCAAGAAGAAUGCUGCUCAUAAGCACAUGCCGACCAGUUACCACAGUCCUAGGCUUCUGCUUCUCAAAGGAGUCCUUGGGCAUUCUGAUGUCGGUUUGUCAUCAUUUAAUUCAAUGGAUCAGGUUGGACUUCACAUAUCUAUAUGCACACAAAUAGUAAACCUACUCUGUAUUGUUGCAUUGAGGGAUAACACAUUUCUAUUUUCUAUGCCUUCAAUAAUUAGGAAAAGGACCUUUUGGAGAGAGCUAUUGGUAAAAUGAUGGAGAUGUGCAGUCCUAAUGUUGUUAUGGUUGAGAAGACUGUUUCACGAAACAUACAAGAACUCCUUCUGAAAGAAGGCGUCACGCUAAUUCUUGAUAUGAAGCUCAACCGGCUAGAGAGAAUUGCACGUUGUACGGGUUCUCCCAUAAUCUCCUUUUCAGAAUUUUUAAACAAACCAAAGCUGAAGCAAUGUGACUACUUCCAUAUCGAGAAAUUUACUGAGGAGCAUAACACCACCAGUGAGGGUGGAAAGGUGCCAUCUAAAACAUUGAUGUUCUUGGAAGGCUUUCCAUGUCCAUUGGGCUGCACGGUAUGUAUAGUGUGCACUCAUCUUAUACUCAAUUCAGUACAUUCGAUGUGCACUGAUAACACUCAAUUGAUUAAAUAGCAAGUUCCAAACUGAUUAGUAUUUUACACAUUUUGGAUUGAUAUUUACAGUAACUGUGGUUUCUUUCUCGUUCAGAUAUUGCUCAAAGGAGCAAAUAGCGAAGAAUUGAAGAAAGUCAAGCAAGUCAUGCACUUCACAGUCUUUGCAGCAUACCACUUGAUCCUUGAAACUUCUUUCUUUGAAGAUCAAAGGGUUUUUCUUAAUGAUAAAAAUAUUCCAAAAGAAAACUCUGUUAGUUCUAUGGAAGGGCUAUCAACAACUGCUUUUGAUCUUGCUGCUCUUGGUGGUGCUAUCCCUAAUUUUCCUUCACAUGAUGACUCUCCAGCACUUCGAUUGUUCCAUCCCACUUCUAAUAGCUAUGUCGAUGUGAACAAAACUUUGAGAUCUCCAAGAAAUUUAGAUGCGCCGAGUUCAAUAACCAGCAGCUCUGAUCUUCAAGAAGGUGCAAGCAUCCGGUAUGACUCAAGUCCAUCCACUAAUUCUGAGAGGAUAGCAUCAGGAGUCCCAGGACCGCUGAGGAAAUUGUUUGCAGACAAUUUAUGUCACCAGAAUAUUUAUUUACCUGUUACGUCAUUGCAAGAGACAAAUGAUAAACAGAAAGAAGUCAGGGUUCAAUCCAGUCAAGAAACUCUUAGUAAUGGUUUUCAUACUCCAAAGGUGGAAGAGUCUGCGGUUUCCAGUGAAAAUGAGGAGUCCACAAAUGGUACCCAGAAACAAGAGAUUACUCAAGCAAUCAUGCAAACAGGUUCCUCUGCAAGUGAUAAAAGUGGAGAAUCACCUGCUACGGUAGAAAACGGAGCACAUAGCGGCACCAGUAUUGUUAUCAAAGAGAGAGAUGUUGAUGACGAUCAAGCUGAUGAAGCACUUGAUUCUCACAGCAUACUGAUUUUAAUGUCUAGCCAGUGCACAGAAAAGCAGAUUAUUUGUGAACAGAGCCAUUUAACCCGUAUAAAAUAUUAUGGGAAUUUUGAUGUGUCAUUGGGGCGGUAUUUGCAAGAUAUUUUGCAGAAUCAGGUAGCACUAUUUUCUUCGUUUUCUUUCAGUGUUUGCUCUUACGUGAAAUAGCCAUAUUUUGCGUUAGUAAUACAACUUGAUUGGUUUAAGAUUAAGACUCAGCUUGUUAAUUUUUUAUUCUAGCAGAAACUGAGCUGCUCCUCAUGUGGAGAGCCUCCAGAAUCUCACAUGUACUCCUACACUCAUCGAAAUGGAAAUUUGACCGUGCUAGUGAAGCGGCUUGAGCCCCAACACCAUUUGCCUGGCGAAUCUGAAGGAAAAAUAUGGAUGUGGACUAGGUGCUCAAGAUGUGAUCACGAACAUGGGAUAUCCAAAUCAACUCCAAGAGUAUUAAUAUCAGCUGAAGCGCGCAAUCUCUCAUUUGGGAAGUUCCUGGAACUUAGUUUUUCAAGCCAUUCUGCAGCCAGAAGGUUAUCCAUAUGUGGACAUUUGGUGAACAGGGAUUGCUUGCGCUUUUUUGGGUAUGCUACGCAUAUAUACAUUUUACACAUACAAAUGAUUUAAAUAGAACUAACUCCUUGCUAGCCUUUAGGCUGUAGCAUGGCAUUGCCAUGGAAACUAUUGUUUUUCCAGUGUGGUGAUGGAUACAUCUGGUUUUGAUUUCAGGUUGGGCUCUAGAGUUGCUAUGUUCCGGUAUUCAUCAGUUAAAAUUUACACUACCUGCAAACCACAACCCACUCUCCAGUUCAUCAACCCCAUCAGACAGGAUUGGUUCGAAGGGCAAAGGAGACAUGUAUGGCUUAUUCUCUUUACCAUUUCGUUUGUUAAUUAUCUUCAGUUCACGUGCAGUGGUGUCUAACUUUUAUACUGUAUCUUUCAAGGUUCAUGCUAGAGGUGUGACACUUUAUUCUAAGGUUGCAACCUUGCUACAAAAGUUGAAGAAUGAACAUUCUGAUGUGAUAAGAGUUGCAAUCAAUUGUGGCCUCUCACUCCCUAUUAAGGACUUUGCUGAACUCGAAGAGUUGUUGAUCAAAGAAAAGGCUAGCUUUGAGGUAGGUACCCUUGCAUUAAUUUCUGUUAUCAUAGGUCCUACAUAAUUGUUCUUUUCAUUACUGUUUAUUAGUUUGUCAAUAUCUGUAUCGUUAUGCAGGGUUCUCUGGACAAGGCCAUUGACCAAAAUGGGAGACCAUCCUCAUCUGUGCAAGAACUUUUGAAUAUAAAUUGGUCCUAUCAGGACCUUCUACUCAGACUUUACAUAUGGGACCGUCGUCUACAUCAGCUUUUCUACUGUAAAUCUGUUGGGCUAGAAACUGCUGCUAAUUGCAAGAACCCUGCUGAUAUUGUGAACGAGAUUUCUGAUGGCAACUUUGAAAUUGGUAAGAAAAUCAGUCGAUUCACAUAUAAUGAAACUAUGACAGCUUUUGUGGCAGCAAGGGUCACUGAGUCUGCAAGUAACAAACUUUACCUUGACCAUCAAUCAGGUGACACUGGAGCACCCUCGCUUGAUGGAAAUCUGGAAGCUGGGAACUCUGAACUUUCUUGCAAUGGAGGCAGUAAAGAUGAAGAAUCUUCCAUUGGUCCUAGUCAAAUAGAUGUAGAUAGCACAACAGAAGCCCCCAAAGUUCCUUGUUUUGAGAUAUCCAAUGAGAAGGGGGUCCAGAGAAAUGUUACAGUGGCAGACACAAUACCUGUGGAACAGGAGCCAUCUAGCAGUCCCCAACAGUUCAAAUAUCAAUAUUGGGAUAGCACAGAAAGGUGGAUUUGGAAUCCAAUUGAUGAAUCUCAAUUGGCUUAUAGGAAUGACAUUCAAGAUGGAUAUUUGGAUGAAUUUGAAAUCGUUAACCAUUAUAAACCAUCUUACCUGCCUCCCUUGUUUGAACAGCAAGACGAUGCAUACCCUCCGCAGUUCACAGUUGGUCCAGGUAGUAAUAUUCUGUGUGUACAGGAGGAUGAGAUAUCAAGCAUAAUAGCUCGUGCUCUUGCCAUGUCUGAUGAACGUCACCAUUUAAAAGAUUCCUCUUUCGAGAAUGAGAUGGAGAACUACAGGGGAGAGCAUGCUAGAACGAUGGAGAAAUCUUUUAGUUUUAUGUCUGCAAGUUCGUACAGCUCAUCACAAUGGUCAUCUACUGGAUCUCAAGAAUCUGAAGCUAGCUUGUCAUCUAUCUCGUCAAUUGCAUCUGACGAUUUCUCUGGUUAUGAUAGCUCAUCCUUAUUGUCUCCAGCACAUCCAGAAAUAACCGUCAACGGGAAAGUAACUUUCAGAGGCAAAUACUCGGUCACUAGUAUAUAUGCUAAUGAAUUCUAUGAAUUAAGAAAGAAGUGCUGCCCAUCUGAGCUUGCAUAUAUUACUUCUUUGAGCCGCUGUAAAAAGUGGGAUGCUCAAGGUGGAAAGAGCAAGGCAUUUUUUGCAAAGACAAUGGAUGACAGGUUUAUCAUUAAGCAAAUCAAGAAAACAGAGUUUGAAUCAUUUAUUGAAUUUGCUCCUCAUUACUUCCAGCAUGUUUUCCAUUCCCUGGACACUGGAAGCCAAACUUGUCUUGCUAAAAUAUUAGGAAUCUAUCAGGUAAUUUAUAUCAACAGCUCGAGCUUGAUUUCAGUUCAUCUUCCAGGCUUAUUUUUUUAUGUGGUCUCACUUGCCUUUUACAGGUUAAGCAUAUUAGGCAUGGCAAAGAGGUAAAGAUCGACCUGAUGGUGAUGGAGAAUCUUCUCUUUGGCCACAAUAUUUCACGGAUUUAUGACCUCAAAGGCGCUACUUUUUCACGUCGCGUUGCUGACUCAAAUGAUCAUGACACUGUUUACCUGGACCAAAACUAUGUUGAGGACAUGGGUGUUUCUCCAAUCUAUAUUGGUGGAAGAACAAAGCAUCUUUUGCAGCGUGCUAUCUGGAAUGACACGGCUUUUCUCACUGUAUGUAUAUCUUUGCCACAAAUCACUUGUAAUUAUGUUUUUUCAGCAAAAAUAUUUUUUUAACAUAGUUGUUGUGCUUGCAGUCGGUCAACGUCAUGGACUAUUCUCUUCUUGUUGGAGUGGAUAAACAAAAGCACGAACUUGUAUUUGGCAUCAUUGAUUAUCUGAGACAAUAUACUUGGGACAAACAACUGGAGACAUGGGUGAAGACUUCUCUGGUAGUACCCAAGAAUGUUUCACCAACCGUAAUUUCCCCCAGGGAGUACAAGAAAAGGUUUAGGAAGUUCAUGGCAAAGUACUUCCUCACAGUUCCAGACACUUGGAGUCCUGAUAUUCCUUCUAAGCAGUGCAAAUCCAUUGGUCAUAGCAAUCACAAGUCGGUAGAAGUCCAGAAUGGUGAUAGCCUGCUUCAGCAUCCAAAUGAGGCUGAGGCAUGUGCCUGAUCCUAUGCAGGACCUCCUGGCAGUUUUCUUGAAGCCUAUUCAGUUAUCAUUUGGCUAAUUUUUCAUUUUUGUAAAAUGGUGUACAUAGGAGGACCUCACUGUUGAUCUAUCCAAAAGUUUGCAGCUUUUAGGCAAAUUGUUGGGGCAUGUGAGGUCCACAAGACAUGUACCUAUACAAAUGUUCAUUGUUAAUUUCACAAUUAUUAUAGUGAAAUUAAAAAAAAUUCAUAUGAUCAUUUUUUGGACCCAUCACCUAAGAGUCUGAAGCAGUCUUCUGUCCAAGAUAGAAAUUUUCUAUCGCUGUUGAAUUAGAUCAAUUUGAGUACCAUUUUGUCCUAUUUACCUCAAUGUGGCUGCUGGCAUCUGGAAGGGGAGGAGCAGCAUAAUGCUCCUGAUCUUGCUGCACACGGUACAAUGUAGUUUUUCCUGUAUGCCCCCCUUCACUUUUUUUUGCUACUGUACAGUAUACAAGUUUGUCAGAACACCAGGUACGGUCCAUACUGCUAGCUAUUUUCUUUCAUAAAACGAAUUCUAUGGGUGAGAUUAAGUUGCUUGUUUGUUCUAUAUUCUGUCUUUUCCUGGAAUAUUACUGCGAUAUGUAUACUCCAAAACUGUUCUUAGAUCUUCAGAGAUAAAAAUUUAAUUUGGUUUUGUCCUGUUCAUUUUCAGACUUCUUCCCUGGGGAAAGUAGCUGCCUGGUGAUGUGCAUGGAGGAUAAUGUCCAGUUGGGGGUUAUAUUACUAUAAUCCUGAUCAAUGAGCUGAUGGCAAGAGCUUUUCAUGUGUGCCAAAACCUGCUUGAAGAAGUACCAAAACCUGCUUGAAAAAGUGAUCAUUGUGUCUGUUUCAGAAAGAGCCAUUGGAUUUGGUGGAUUGAUGAAGGUCAGCUUUUCCCAGCACAGGCGGCGUCCCAACCCCAAAGUGUGGAAUAUGGAUUGCGGUGCUGCUGCUUACCAUGAUGUAUCUUAUCUUUUUGGCUUUUUGGCUCUGGAAGGCACAGGUCAAUCAAUUUGGCAUUUCAACCGGUCGCAGAAGCUGAUUUUGGUUGGCUCACAAGAGGUCCACAAGGUGAUCAUCCUGUUCCAGUUCCAGAAGGCUGUUUCUCUCAUCAUCACAGAAAGCAAAUGGUGACUGUCUUCAGAGAUCAAAGAGAAGCAUCUCAAGACAAGAACCUCACGAAGGUCACAAAAGGUACCAUCUCUCUAGUUCCUUCCCUUGUUGUCUAUCUUAGCAACAUGAGCAAUCUUUACGCUACCAUUCAGCAUAUUCUUGAACUGUUGGGGCGAUAUGAUCCAUGAUAAUGAAAGCAUAAGCCUACCAUCGAAAACAAAAACAAGCAAAAAGAAUGACAACUAUAAAGGCUAAUUUCCCCUCUGUUUUUUUCCAUUCCUUUUUGUCUCCUAUGUCUAACAAGUUGGCCACAUCUCUAUAGCCCUUUUCCAGUUAUAGAAAAGGUACAAAGAGUUGGUUUUCCUUUUUCCGAGGUCUGAUUGGUGGCGCUUGCAGAUUCUCCUUUUCACCAUCAACUAUUAUAAUAUCUAAAAGAUAUGUUGUAUUAAAAAAUGCUAGAGAUAGAUAUGUUCUGGUUCUGGUUCUGAUUCUGGCAAAUAGGGGAACUAGGGAAGCAUACAAAUUAAAGACGAUCAUGAUUCGAUUCUGCAUGCACGAGUCAAGUAUGGACACCCUGACCCUACUAGAAUGGUAGCAGCUAGAGAGUAAACACAGCACAGCAGCGCACUCAAAUCGAACCAGAUGGAGAAGGAAAACAAGCAAACAAAAAAGCACCUUCCCUUGGGUUCCCUAGCUAGAAUUGUAGUUAGUCUUGUUGUAUCUACGGGCCGGUACUAGCAUACAAGAAGUGCUGAGCUGAACUUUUUUUUUGUUGUUUCAGGUAGCUAGCGAUGGCUGCAGAGGUCGGAGAGCAUCUUCCUGCCCUCGACGAUCUCGUCGAAGAAGUCGUCGAGCUCGACGAUGAGGCUCUCGGCUCCCGAUCGCAGCAUCCCAACCCAGCCAUUGAUGAUCUCGGCUCUCUGGGCGAUCUCGUCGUGGUCGCAGUAGCCCCCCAUGCGAACGACCCUGUCCAAAAGUCUUGCUUGAGGCUGUCGAUGGCUGCCCGGGCCUGGCGGAACUCGUACAUCAUGAUGCCUGCAGUAGAUGUAGAGUGGUGGUCGCCCACCACCCGCUGCAACCAAGGAUGGAGUCCCAUCUCCUGGGCGACGCGGUGUCGCAGGCGCGCCAUGGAGGCGACGUAGCCCGAGGUGGCGCGGAGGUGCUGGUGGGUGGCAGCAGCGGCAGCAGAAGAAGUGAGGAGGUCGGGGAGACAGGUGACGGUGCCGGAGAUGAGGAGGACGAGGAGGAAGGAGGUGGCGUUGCGGAGGGCGUAGAGGACUCCGCGGAACCCGUUGAAGGCGUUGAGCUUGAAGUCCCUUGGGGAGCGGGCGUCGAGGAGGAGGGAGGCCGGGUCGAGCCUUGCGUCGGCGAGGGCGCGGUUGUCCUGCUGGAGUCCGGCGGCGUGUCGCCUGGGUGCGUUGAUGGCGCGCAUGAGGUGGUGGUGGUGGUGGUGGUGGUGGUGGUGCGGUGCGGCGGAGGCGGAGUAGAGCGGCAGCCAGUCGUGGACGGCCGGGGCGACGCGGGCGGCGGAGGCGCAGUAUGCGUCGAGCGCGGAGGCGCCGGCACGGGCGAGCUGGCAGGCGUCCCAGAGGCGGGAGGUCUCGUCCAUGUACUCGUCCAGCCACCGCUCGCCGGGAGGGAGGUGGAGGCGCUGCACCACGUGGAGAAGCUGGGAGUGGAGGGAGCGGAGGAGGGAGGCGGCCUGCUGGAGGAAGGGAGCCGAGAGGCACGCGUGCGGGCUGCGGUGGAGGGCGUCGAGGCCGUGCGCCAUCGCCGAGUAGAACCCGCCGUGCGCCAUUGCUGCUGAUGGUGUCUGGUGGUGCUGGGAUGCUGGUGGAAGAACUGUGACAGCUGGUGUGCAUGGUGCUGGGCGCUGGGUUUUAUAGAUACUCCAUCCACAAUGGGAGUGGAAGGCCAAGGAAAAGAAGAGGAGGCCGUGUAAUGCCUCCUGCUAAUGAUGGGGUGUCUGAUGCGCAGGGGGAAGGAUGAUUGUUGAGGAGAUGAUGAAUCGGACUGAAUUCGAUCGAUCCAUCCUUCCUUUCCUCUGUUUCCUCAUGACUCCAUUACUACGAUGAGAUGAGAUGAAACGAGACAGGGGUCGCCGUGCUGCUUCUCCUCUGUCGGUCCAGGGGGUGGAUCAUCCACCCUUUGCUCUGUUUGCUCAUGCAUGCAAUGCAACGCCGUGUUGUGUUGGGUUUAGCUGGAAUGUCUGUACCAAGCCCAGAUUGUUCACCAAGUAGCUAGUAGGUGUAGGCAAUAAAACUCAUUAUUAUACAUCUUGGUCAUCUGAGUUUGUUGAGCGUUUAUGUUGUUGUUGAACAAAUACUCCUAAACUGUGGAUGCAUGCACAGCACAGAUGCUACUUGUAGGACAAACAAAGUUUCAAAGGCGGGCAGGGAGUCCAAGAGAUUUGUCUUUUCCAGCCUAGAGUCUAGAGCUACUAGAGUCCGGUAGAGGAAUGAGUGAUUGGGUAUAUUCAAGGUAGGAAGCAGGGGUGAUGGCGGCAGCAGCAGCCUAGCUGGAAUGAUGGGUCUCCUUGUACCCGUACAAAUCUCUCUGGCCGCUACAAGCGCCUCCCCGCCUUUUGAGGCAUCCCUCCCUCUUCACCCGGGACGGGGCCUCCCAGCAAUCAUGCCUGGAUAUGUGCCCGUGCCCUGCCUCCCCUUCUUCUCCUCCUUACUACUACUCUAAUGCCAAAGCUUCAAAUCUUCAGUUGCUCAUCGGCCGUCUAAUCGCACGAUCAAGGGCUCGGAUCAUCUCGAUUACAUAAUCAUUCCACGGUCGUCCCCAAUGAUGGUGGUUAAUUACUCCAAUUUUGUUGCCGCAACUAGAGUGCUUAAUUAGUCCAAAAUAAACUAGAGUAGGAUUCCAAGGAAAGGAACUGGUCCAAGUAGGAGUAAGACCUGUCUUAAUAGGAGUUUUGUAGGAGUGUCAUGAACAUUAAAUUUGUUGCCACAUCAGUAAAACUGUUGAUUUGGCAAGGUCAUCACGAAGGGAAGUUAGUUUCAUCCCCAUGAUACUCAACUGGCAUGGUUACCAAGUUCUCGAUCUUAGUAACUGACCUAAAUGUUAUGUUAACAAGAGCCUAGUGCCGCCUAGGUGCUCGUGGGGUUUGGGAGGACGAGAGAGGGAUUUGGAUUUGAUUGGGGAAAUCAAAGGGCAUGUAUGUUAGGUUGUUUGCCUUUGCCUUUGGCCCUCCCUCCCAAGCAAUGCAUGCAUGGUUAACAAAUAUAAUGCCAGUACUUAAUUAUCAACUACUAAUAUACUAUAGGAGUGUAGUAAGAUUGAUCAUCGAUGCAUGGAUCAUGUUUGAAUAUUUGUUACAUACUACCAGGCCAUCAGUCUCGUAAGUAGUACUACGUUGAAUGCCGAUCGAGACUGACUCUGACUGGACCAGAAUACAACAACACACUCUCUCGAUCACUCCACUAGAGGACAUGCAUGCAUGAUGCAUUGGAACGCCUUCAUGCAUGUAUAUAAACAAUAAUGCUCCUGCGUGGCCGUGGUUGACCGGUAGGCUCCACGCCACUCAUCACGCCGCCGGCCCUAGCUCGGAUGACCAUGAACAUAUGCUAAGAAUAUGGUAUUCCAAAUGAACCUAGCCAUAUGGCAAUUGAAAAACAAAUGGUUUAUGCUUUCAUUUGCAUUGCAGAAACAACACUUAGGACUACCACGCCAAUGUCUCUUUGGCCAAAUUAUCUUUAGUUAGAAUCACACCUUUCUUCAAGUACCAAAGGAAAAUUUUAAUCUUUAGAGGAAAUCUUAUCUUCCAAAGAUCACUUUUUCUUGGUAAAGCAUCUUUGUGUAUCAAUGCGGAAUACAUCGAAUGAACAGAAAAGAUGCCAUUCUUGUGCAAACCCCACCUAAAGAUAUCUUCCUCCUCGCAUUCAAACUAACAGCUACCACCUUGGAAACUAGUUCGUAUACCAUGCUGCUAGCUUGUCUCCUACUAAAGCUCAUCGAAAAGAAAUAUUGAACUUAGCACACUUGCCACUGUUACAAACUUUUUCCUCACAAUUCUGUACAGCAUAGGAUAAGCUAACGCCAAUGGUUUAUUUGUCACCAAUCCAAAUCCAAAGGUCCUCCCAAAAUCUAACAUCAAUGGUGUAUGGUACUCCUACUUGAUACCAAUGCAAGAGAGGCUAGAGAGCAACAUGCAUGCCACAAGGUAAUAAUGAUUUGUCAACGUACACUGCCAAAAACAGAGCAACAUAAAAGUCUGUUUCUGUUUGCGUGCAUGUGUGAGUAGUAAUCGGAUACCGUGGAUAGUGUACCACUCCACUGUAUGUGUUUAUCCGAUCUGGAACAGCCAGCGCAGCUUGGGGGCACUCAGUCGUCUAGUACUGGACUAUGAUGCCGUCACGGCGCUAUGUUCCGUAUUCCGCCAACAUUUAGCCCCUUGCAUAACUUCCAAGUUUACUGUGGACCGAGUAUGCAUAUUCCAUUUGUAUAAUUGAACAGCAGUGCCAUACGAAGAACACAUGGAUGCAUGGUAGAAAUUUCAGCAGUAUAAUAAUGAUGAUAUGCAUGAUAUAGGUAGGCCUGCAUGGUGUGUAGGUGUAGGGCGGCUGAUGGCUCUUGACCGAAAACUUUGGGAGGUGCUUCUGCUUGCACUACAGUAGUCUACAGAUAGACGAGGAGCCAGAGUCACGCGCAAGCAGCAGCCUUUGCUGUUGGUGCAGCGAGUGAGAUAUGAUACUCACACUCUCAGAGCAGAGAAGAGAAUCAUGGAUGCAACAGAAUAGAGUAGAGUAGAGUAGAGCUGCUAGCUGGCCAUGCAUAAGGCUGCAAUUGCAAUGUAGUACUGGUAUCAUGCUGCAUCAUCCAUCAGUCUUCGAUUGCAUAUUUGCAUUGCACCACCAUGAUCGAUCCACGUCAAUCAGGAUCGAUCAGCUGCCUGCCUUGCAAAUUACAAGCAGUCAAGCAUUGUAUUCAUCCAUGACCCUUUCAAUGAAGCAUAUACGAUGCGUUUUUUUUUUUCAAACCAUGUAUAUGAAACCGAAUUGAGUUCGAGUUUGAAACAAGAGGCGACCUAGUAUCACCUUUUGACGGCCAAGUUGGAAAGACCCUCCUACCUUCCCCCUCUAUAAGACUAUAAGAGUAAGUAGUAGACUGUAAAGAAAGAAAGAAGGAAAGAAAGAUUAAAGUUGGCGCGCUUUUUGCCUUCCUUCCCCGAGCCAACACAAGAGGCCCAUGGCCAUGGGCGGGGCGAAUCACUCAUCAUGCUGUCAUUUCUGCAGCGGCUCGUUGUUUUUUGCCCGCCGCCUGCUCCGAUCGAUUGCCAACUCGAAAUCCAGAAAAUGUGUUGCAUGGACAGGAGGCAGCAUCCAUGGAUUGCCAUGGAGGAUGGAGCCCCCCUGCUCCUGCUCCUGCUCCUGCUCUUGCCCUGCAAAAGCCAUCGAGUGCCAUGCGAGUAAGUCUUGUCCCGUUUCAAACGUCUCCAAGAAAUGGAAUCAAUCCUCUGCUUUCUGAAUAUUUUGCCGCCGCAGAUCAUCGUCUCGUCGAUGAGAUGCCGCCAAGGCUAGCUUGUCGACCACCAUCAUCAUCGUCCUGCUAAGGGGGUGUUUGGAUACGAGGUGUUAAACUUUAACAGUGUCACAUCGGAUGUUCGGAUGCUAAUUAGGAGAACUAAACAUGAGGUAAUUAUAAAACUAAUUGCAGAACCCUGUGCUAAUUCGCGAGACGAAUCUAUUAAGCCUAAUUAAUCCAUCAUUAGCAAUUGGUUACUGUAGCACCAUAUUGUCAAAUCAUGGACUAAUUAGGCUUAAUAGAUUCGUCUCGUGAAUUACACUCCAUCUGUGCAAUUAGUUUUGUAAUUAACCUAUGUUUAAUACUCCUAAUUAGCAUCCAAACAUCCGAUGUGACAGGUGUUAAACUUUAACACUUGAUUGCCAAACACGCCCUAAAAUUGCACCCGAAUAGCGGAAUAGGAGGAGGUCCAAUCAAUCUCGACGUACAGCUUUCUCAAUCAGUCCGGACAAGAAAAUGACAAAAUGUAAUCUGAUAUAACAUUAGAGUAAAAUUUGCAAAAAUAUAUACGGAUAAACUAAACUACACAACAGUAAACCACAUGUUUAAGGUGUUCAACAAGGUUGUAAAUAAAUAGCAUUGGUGGCGACAAAGAGCCAAGACAAACGAAAAAACAGAGCUGUAGGUAGUAGCUGUAGCAGCGGCUAUUCUUCGUAGCAUUUUUUAAUAUUAAAAUACCUAAAAGCAACAAAUAUAUGCACAAGAAGAGCCAAGAUAGAAAAAAAAAUUACUUUAGAACCACUAAUCCCUUUCUUCCCUUCCAUAUCGGGAGGCUCUCGAUUUAAGCUAGAUCGAUCGAGAGCUCUCUCGUUUUAGUUUUUUUCGAAAGAAAAAAUGCCAGGAAAAAUGACAAGUAACAAAUUGGUACGAGGAAAUAACAAAAUCGAGUCACCAACUCCGGCGACGACUCCCACUCUGGCGAGCUCCGAUUCGGGUUAGGGUUUGGGGAUUAGGGUUAGGGUUUCAGGGUUUGGGGUUGGGGAGGGGAUAAUUUGUGCCUACGGGGUUAGAGGGAUGGCUAGGGAGGCGGCCGGCCCGGCGGAGCUGGUGGGGUGUGGGCGGUGGUGGCGCCGCCGGCCGGGUGGUGGAGAACAUCCGAUGGCCUGUGUAUGCGACGGGGGUGAGGAAGAGGAGUGGUUAGGAUGGGCGGGGGAGAGGGUGGGGUAGGAGGUGGGCGGAACGACACGGCGGUGGAGGCCGGUGGACUGGCGGUCUUAGGGCAGAGACGAAGAAGAUGGCGGCGAAGUACGGAUUCGGACAAAGGGGAGGAGGAGGGGAGGAUGAAAGGCAGGAGCCCGCGAAGACGGAGGGUAGCGUCUAGGAUCAGCGAAGAGCGGUUGGGGGCGUGCAAGCGAAGCUGCAGUCAAGCGUGCAGUCGCGAGGAAGACGAAGAGGAUAAGGCAUUAGGCUUGGACGGUGGUAGAUAGCAUGUGGGUGGGCCAGGGGUUCUCCACCUAUUUCUAGCUGGAGAGCUCUCUUUGUUUAAUCGCCUCCUUUUUCUUUCUAUCUCUUUCUUCCCUUCCAUAUCUCGAUUUAAGCUAGAUUGAGAGCUCUCUCGUUUUAGAUUUUUCGUUUAUCUUAUGUGACAAGUUUGGUUUUGUCCUCUAAUCCUUAUAUGUUGAUGAGUAUUAAGGAUUGGAUUCAUUCUAUUUCAUUAUAUGCAUCAUUUUUGUUGUUUUUUGUUUUCAUUUGGAGAUGGAUCUAAUAUCCUAGUAGCUAUCUAAAAUGCCUUGUCGAUUUCUAAGAUAAAAGUAUGUUUUGGAACAAUAGAUCAGAAUCGAAGCUUUACAUGUGCACUUGGGGGGAGAAAAGGCUGUGUAUUUUUGUUAAAAACCCUUUGAUGUGAAGGCAUACCAUACAAGCGCUCGUGGCCUAAUGGAUAAGGCAUUUGACUUCUAAUCAAAGGAUUGUGGGUUCGAGUCCCACCGAGCGUGCGUUUCUUUUUUUUCUUGUUUUCCUUUUCCCCCCGUUCUCUGCUUUUAAACAAGCCUUACCCUGUUUCUUCGAAAUUACAGCAGCACAUAUAUCUGUAACGGGGAUUCGGACUCUUUUUUUAAAAAAAAAGUUUCUGCUAAGGGGUUUUUUUUGAUCCCGGGCUAAAUUUUAGUCCCUAUCACAUCGAAUAUUUAGACACUAAUUAGGAGUAUUAAACAUAGGCUAAUUACAAAACCAAUUUCACAACCACUAGGUUAAAUCGCGAGACGAAUCUAUUAAACCUAAUUAGUCCAUGAUUUGACAAUAUGGUGCUACAGUAAAUAUUCGCUAAUGAUGGAUUAAUUAGGCUUAAUAGAUUCGUCUCGCGAUUUAGCCUAGGGAUUCUGAAAUUAGUUUUGUAAUUAGCUCAUAUUUAGUCCUCCUAAUUAGCAUCCGAAUAUCCAAUGUGACACGGACUAAACUUUAGCUCAGGAUACAAACACCCCCUAACAUGUUAGCCCGAUAAGGAGGAGAUAGCUGGACCUGGAUGAAUCCCUGUGAUUUGAUAGCAUUUCGUAUAAGAUGUCAAUUUUUUUUAUUUAAGCAAUACAGACGAAAGAUUUCACAUCGGAAUCUGACAGCAAAAUGAUUUCAGAUUUGUACGAAAAAGGAUGAACGCAACAGUAGUGCUAAUAAUGACAGCACCAAAAUCUGGGUGACCAAAUUUAUCAUCGUCAUCAAGACCAAAAAGAAAGACAAAGAAUCAGCAACCUUUUUACGAAGCUCUACACCAACUCGACUGGAACUUUUGCCAUUUCGGUUCUCUACUAUGUGCCAAAAAGCUCCUGAUGAUCCGUGCUGAAACGGCUGUUAGAUCAGAUGUAAGUAUGCUGGUUUAUUCCUUCCUAGUAAAUAUCGAAUCGACAUCGGCAGCUGCUGCUAAAUCUUGUCGCCUUGCUUCUCGCCGGUGAGCGGCAGCAUCUCCAUGCGGCCCCUGGGCGUGCGCGGGCCUGGCGUGGUGGCGGCCUGCUGUGAGAUGAGGUGCCUCACGUAGCCGUAGAAGGUGCAGCCGACGAGCGUGAUGGCGCAGCCGACGGCGUUCAUGGCCGAGAUGGGGUUCCGGAAGAUCAUCCACGACACCAGCACCGCCACCGCCACCUUGAGGUUGCCGGCCACGUUGAAGGUCACGGCCGUCGUCGAGUGGAUCACGUAGAAGAUGGAGAAGUUGAGGCAGAAGGCCAGCACCCCUGACGUGAUGAUGAUCGCCAGCGCUGGGGCCACGGAGUCGUAGGUGUAGAGCCAGCUCACCACGCCGCUGCCUUCAAGCACGAUUGCUGGAACCGACAGGAUCAUCGUCGCAAAUGGCGCCAUGUAGUACACCGUGUUUAUGCUGCACAUAGAAACAGUAGAAUUGUUCAUACCAAAUGUCAGGUGCCAAUCUAUAAACAAAGAUCCUCUUAUACCUGUCGAACUUGUAUCCAUGGAGCAGGGACUCUGCCAUGAUGGUCUUUGUGGAAGUGGCCAGGCAGCCCACCAUGGCAGCACAAAAGCCAAACGUGUUGAAGCUCAGCUCGGUUAUGGAUGUCAGCAGAAUCCCUCCCACUAUUGGGACCAAAGAAGCCCAGAUGCGCCACUCGAAAUAUUUCCUCCAGAUCAACCACUGAAGAAUCACUGUCACAGUGGAAGAGAUCGGUCAGAAAUUAUUAUUCUACUACUGACAUUGUGGAAAUACUAACACAGGAAAACAAAGGAUGACAAGAUCAGAUCGCUAACCCGUUGUUGCAGGAGUGAAAGAUUUUAUCGUCUGCAUGAAGGAGACUGGAAUGUAGCGAAGGCUGACAUUCCCCAACACGAUGUUUAUGCAGAAUACAAAUGACAUUGGGAAUAUCCUUCUCCAUCGAUCCUCUGAGGCAACCUCGAUCAGAGGCUUUGUUUUCAGAACUUUGAUUGCGAUAUAAGCUCCAAUAGAAGAGCAUAUGAAGUGGACACACGACACCGUCAGAGGAAAUUUGAACUCCAAUUUCUGCCAAAUUUAAAGUCAAAAAUCAUCAAGUUGAUGCCUUUAUCUUUAUGCCAAGCAAGUCGCAACAACCCCUUUUUCAACAUCCAAGCAACGAAAGUCAAUUCAAAUAGAUGAAAAGGGAGAAACGGAAAGCUUCUUCUUUAAGGUUCUCUCCGACAGAAAGCACACUACCACAUGCUAGCAGAUGGUUUCUUAAAGAACACUGCAAGCAGUGCUACUAGCAUGUUUCUAAUAUCUAGGCACAUAUAUUUUGACAGUUGUGCUAGUUUACAAGACAAAUUAUUUGAUAAAUAAAGAAUCAAUAUAUAUCACUACAAAGAUAGCGUGUCAAGUCAAGAGAGAAGGAAAAUAUUUUUCAAGCUCCUCUUAAAGAAACAAUCUCGGGCAGAAGCAGCCUGAAGGGAAAUGUUUGGGUCCUAACUAUCUUCAGGGCAUUUGUACUAAACCUGCUGAAAGUCAAAGGUGAUCCUGGACGGUUACACUCCAUCAAACCAAGAGUCAGAAUAGGAACCUUGCUGCUCAUUCUAACAACUUUUAGUAAACCACAAUCUUGAGGAACAUGCAGGAUUGCAGACUUCACUACCUGGUUGUGGCCUACUAAAUUGCAUGACUGCACAGAGGUGCAAUUUGGAUUCGUGCUAUUGAUAACCGUGCACUCCUUUUACUUUUUCCCUUUGUAUUUUGUUUAUGAAACAAAAAUGUCAGGAUAAGUUUCAUAAAAAAAGUCAAGAUACAUAUACGAACAGAGGUAGCACUAUGGUUUUCAUUUAUUCAUAAAUUUUAUUGCACAGAUGCUGUUUCUAGGACCAACAUAACUACAAUUAACUCCAGAGAUGCUGUUUCCAGGAUCUUAUUUUUCCAGCUGUACUUAUUUUUUUAGAGGAAUUCUUUUAAAAGGAUUCAGCUGUACUUUAUGCUAGCAUGAUCGUCAAAAAGGAAAAGGGCUCUCCUUCGAGUCAUUUUCCCUGCACGGCGUUUACACACUAUUGUUCUCAGUUAACCCCGAAAUCCAUAAACAGAAUUCCGUAAUUGCCACCAAUAGACAAAAAAAGAAAAAAUCUACUGUUCUUCAUCAUAAAAAUCCCGAACCUAACUGCAAGUAACCGAGUGGAGCAAUUUUCAGGUGUAAAGACUGUAUCUUUUUUUCUUUCUGUGAAAACACUAGACAACACCAGUAUUGAAGAAUCAUCUGCACCUAUGGAAAUAAGCAAAGAAAAUAAAAGGACAAUCUUUUGGUCCUAUACUCAUGGAUCAGCCCCUGAAUUCGCUUUUAAUGAAUAUUAUAGACAAAGGAAUAUAUCCGGGAAUUGAGAUAAAAAAAACAAACAACAACAAGGUUGAAUGAAUCAAUCGAUCAAUAUUUAGAAGAAGAGUAUUGGGCUGGUUGACCGACCUGGAAGAUCCACUUGUUGAUGAUGAUGACGGUGACGUUGAAGCCCCACCACUGGAGGAUGGCGAGCACCGCCCGGAUGGUGGUGGCGUUCCCCAUCUUGCCGUCCUCCAUGGAAGGAUUGCUUCUUGGGCUUGCCGGCCGGUGCCUCUCUGUUUCUCUCCUCUAUCUAGUAUUAAUUGAUCAAUCCGACACGAGAAACUCCUCCGCCCAGUGAUCUAUCGUCCAUUAAGGAAGGCUCCUAUCUUGUAGAAGGUUCUCGGAGAGAGAAGGGCGUGACGGUGGUGGUGACUGGUGGCUUAGAAUAGAUGGAGGAUAGGAGGUGAGAUGAGGAAGAGAAGAGGGAGGGGGGCGGGGAAGGCAGGGCAGGACGGAGGAGGAAGACGAUCGGAGGGAAAGGGAAGGGAUAUUCUGUUGGUUCGUUCGUUUUAGGUUGGGAAUUCAGUUGGUGUGAUGUGAUUUCUCAAAGCAUCGGGAAUCGAAAGAGUCAGAUGAUGGUGGUGCUGGCUUUUGCCACGCGUUACGUGUGCCCCUGCUCCUGCCUCUCUCUGUUUUUUUUUAACUAGUAAGUAUUUGAUGAUAAUUCUGAUACAGACGGGAAGUGUUUUCUUCAAUUCAAUUCAUCGUUGAGGCGUCUCCAAACUGAUUUUAUAUAUCCAAAUAAUUCAGUUGCCUCGUCUUGGAAAGGAAAUUAAACAUGAUCUCUCCUGUUUCUGCUUCCCAUGCAUGAAAAUCCCCGUAGAAAUCCUAUCUCGCGGUCCAGUAACGGCCCAGGGUUUUCAGCCAGAUAUCACGUAGAUAGAAAGAUCCUUUUUACGGGAAACCACGUAGAAAGUGAACAGUUACAGAUAUAUACAAGGGGAAAAAGGCCAGCGUUCCUUUUAGCUUCUGGAUCCUGACCUGACGUCCUGACCUGAAUUCAGAUCGACGUGGAUGUUGCGUAAGUGCAUACUAUUAUAUUAUGCAGUGCUUUAGAAUGUAGAUGGUUGACGAAGAAAUGGUUUCUGUCCCUGUUGUUGUAAGGAAGGCGACAUCAAGUAGGUACAGCAGGCACUUGCUCCAUUAGGAGUUAGGACGACUACACACAUGCACACACAUGGGACACACCCAGCUUUUCUCCCUAAGUACCAUCAAGCUUAUCAAGAAAUGAUUCAAACUCCCUCCCUAUUGUCUAACAAAUUUAGGCACCACAUCAAGUACAUUGCAUUGACACCAGGGGAAUACAUACAGUACAAACAUUUUCUCCCCAGCACAUAAAAGACGACGAUGGUUGUUUCCAUCAAUGUCUUCCAAGUUCCUAACCAUUCAGCCGGAUAUAUAGGAGAAAGGAGACCCCAGCUUCAGCCUUCUGCAGAGUCUUCAGGGUUAGGUACAUAGGUUACCAAGCCAUCACAAUUCACACACAAGAUGAAGGUGUUGCUGUACCACUUAUGGAUUCAGCUGGCGACAUAUCAUCCACAAACCUCCACAAGCAUCAACCACAGCCUAUGCAAAAUCAUAUAAAUACACACGUUUUGUCCAACAAAAGAAACGGUGAGCAACAUGUACAAAACAAACAUGUCAACAACAAGGGUGUCAGGUGCUGCCACAAGGUAAUGGAAGGCGCACACACACACACACACACAACAUCACAGCAAAACAACAACCACCUACUCAGAAUAACCAAAAGAAUUCAAUUCAGAAAAAAGAGAACAGAACAGGGAAUCAACAUUUCAUCUCCAGCUACAUACGCUGCCAUCUCAUCUUCACCAGCCAACAAGCUGUCUUCCUGUGUAUACACAACCCAUUAUUCAAGCUGUCAGAGUAAUGUAUACCCCUUUAGAGGGACCAAAGAAUCCUUUCCUUUCUUUCACCCUAAGCCUGUGAAAGCACCACCUCUCAAGCUGAUCCACGCUGCUGCUGCUCUUCUGUUACUUAGUCUCUGGAGCACCACUUGCCACCACCUUCGACCUUUUGGCACCAGGAACAUGCAUGACAGUCUCCAGGACCGACUUCUCAUACUUCUGCAUUGCAUCCAUCGACCUUCGCGCACUACACGAUGUGCAGUACCACGAACCUUUUGGGAUAUCAAUGCGCGGCGGAUUCAUGCAGUAUAUGUGAUAAGCAUCAUCGCAGCCAUCACACAAGACCGUCCAUUCGUCGUCCUUGGCCUUGAAGCAGCCUCUGCACAGGCAAGAUGGGCAGUACCAGCAUGCUCGGUUCUUUUGCUUCUGAAUUGCAAUCUGGCUUUCUUUCAGGCACAGAACAUGAUAGAACUUGUAAGCACAGUAAGGAUGGCCGCAUACCAAGAACUUCUUGUCUUCAUCUUCACAUGUGCCACAAUGCUUGCACAAGUUUGAUAGCGCAGUAGUUGAGAGGUCUGGUUCACUAUCUCCAUCCAUGCUUGAGACUGAGCUCUCCUGUGUUUUGACUGCCAACUCAGUUCUACUAACAUCCUCAGGAUUUUCUUCUGGCACCUUGACCUCAAGCCAUUCGCAUACAUCGCAAUCUUCAUGCGAUCUGCCAUUGUUGUUAUUCUUUAUAGCUGCAUCUAAUUCAUUGCAGGUGGGACAGAACCAUUUUGCUGGGACAUCAUCAAUGGCAGGCUUGAGACAUGAAACAUGGAAGGCGGCUUCACAUCUAUCACAGAUAAUUCUGCCUUCGCUGUCUGCCUUUCUGCCACAAUCCUUGCAAAUUCCAUCCAAUCCAGAUGUCCCACUUCGUUUUGGUAUGGUAGAAUGGCCAGAAUCACAUGGGGGAGUCGACUCCCUCAGGGUUUUGUGGGCAACACCAACCAAACUUGUUUCCUAAUGAAGAAUGCAAUUAGUAACAGAAUUUUACAAAUACUAACAAUGAAACAUUGGUUAGCAGACAUGCUCAUAGCACACCACUCACCUCUAUCUUGUGCUCGGUCAUAUCAAUUUCUGAAACGCCAGAAGCCUACAAAGAAUAUUUCUAUUAGCAAUGGCCAGCAUGAAAGGAGUGAUUUCAACAAUAUGAUAGUGUCUCUCGAGUCAAAAUCCAUCCAUCUCGGAGCUAGCACCAUCAUUUAUCACUAACAAAAAACUAACAGCUUACCUGCUUUUGACAAGAAGCUUGUGAAAUGACUGAAAGACUGCUCGCCAGACCAACCAUUUCUUGGCCAACUUGUUCAAACUUCUUCCAUAUCUGCAUAAUAAACAAAUAUAAAUACAUAGUAAAAGAAGUGUUGAUGAUAUGUUCCCACCUGAAUGUUUAAGGUAACUUCUAAGGAUGUUUGGUACAUGGAUACAACAAACAAACAAAACUACAGUUGAGAAAAAUGAAAAACAAAUAUAAGAGAACAGCUUUGGCCUUUGAGAUACAUAGGAGGUACUAACAUGUAAACAAAUCUAAUCAUUCAUCACUUGCCCCCAAAAACAUUAAGGGUGUGAUUGGUUUCGUAUCACAGUAUCCUGGCUCGCACCACGCAUGCAGGCCUGUGCUGGCCAGGCCUGCCAGAUGCAGCCGGUUUUUGUUUGCUUGCCUGCACCCAGACAGCCAGGACAGGUUCAGAGCCUGAUUGGAUACCCACACCCAGCCAUUAGCCAAUCCGAUUUUUCUCACUGCACUCUUGGCCCGCGCGCUCGCCUGCACCACGUGAGCCAGGCCCGCGGGAAACGCCCGCUCGCCACGUUUCUUCGAGCCAGGCUCUAGCCUCCUUUUUGCAUCCAUGGAGCCUGGCUCCGGGGCCUACACAGGCAACCAAUCAGUCUCCCCUGCAUCCACAGAGCCUGACCGGGGAGCAUGCGGGCAACCAAUCAGCACUUAAGGUCACGUUCCCCCUUUUGCCUUCUUCCAUUUAAGAAAAGAAGUGAACAAGGUAAAUAAAACCUUCCUCACAAUACAUGGUUUAAAUCUACUUAUUGAGCACUAGUGCACAGCAGCAUGCUACAGCCCAUGUUAGAUUUAUGUGCAUUCAUUAAUGCCAUCCGCUGAUGGGUCAAGGUCAAGCUUGCGCCUUGUGGUCCACAUAAAGUGAGAGGCCCAAGGGAAUCGGCAAGGCGACGCUUCAGGGCAGUGGAUGAUGUGGGUGGAGAGAAACAUAGCAUGAAUUCAUGAAGACAGGGCAGCAGAUCCCUUCCCACGAAAAACAGAUAUUAGGUGUCCUUCGUAGGAAAGGAGGCACUACAUCUCAGAGUUGCCUUGAGUCAGUAGAGAAACAUGGCUAUGUGGUUAGCCAGUCACAUAUAUGCUGUUUUGGUUGAGCACACCUAUUCCAGCUACAAUGGCGUAGGAAAAACAUGCACCCUUCUUCCCAUGAUUCUAUUGUUUAAAACUUGGAUUUUCAGAAGAAUUUCGAAGGGGCAACCAAUGUGCUGGAAAACAGGACCGAACAGGCCACCAACAUGGAAAGAAUCAUUCCAUCUACUACGACAUUUUAAAUCUAUGUGAUCAAACAGACAAGUGACGGGUAAGAUAUUGAAAUCUUGAGCGUUAAAAGAACCUUGGCUCCGAAAAAUAAGUGCAGCUACAUCUUUAUCUAUAUCAGAGGAAACAGUACCCAAUAAAAAUGAAGGAAUGCAUGAAACAAAAAAACAGGUACCUGUUUGAUAUCAUGGUCAAGCAGCGCAGGAUUCUGUGCAUAAUCUCCAUUUUUCAUCUUGGCAUCAAUUUUUUGCAAGCCAAUCACAUCUUCAUCAGGCUUAUUGACAUUGAAAGUUGCAAGUAGCAAAUCACAGAACAAGGCAAACUUCUCAGAGACUAGAAUGUCAAAGAGAGCAUUAUGGCAGAUUGCCUUGUUGGCUUCCAAUGAUGCUGCAGUUCCAUCUUCUAACUUAACUAAGGCGCCAUUGUUUGCAGCUGCAUCUUCUGCCUUAACCAAGGCACCAUUAUUCUCUAUGGCAUGUACCACUCCACUUGGGUCCUCUCUGCCUUGGCCCUCACCUAGGCUCCCCUGGUAGAUACAGAAAAACAAAAGAGAAGCUUUUGUUAGGGAAGAAGGAAACGAAGGUACUCGUUAACCAAGUUUGUUCAAUCUGAAGAACGGGAUUACUGACAUUUUCCAGGGGCUGGCAGCUAUUAUGUCUGAGUGCAUCACGAAUGCAGCUCUGAAUCCCUCCAGAGCCCUGGCUCACCGCAGGGGAUUGCAGGAGGCCCUCCAGCGUGUCCCUCCAGCUUCUCCAGUGCCUGGCGAGCAUCCGGUAGGCACCUUGCUGAGAAUUGCUGGCGUGGGGCACCAUGCUCAUCUGAUUCUGCGCGGGAAGAAAGCAGAUAAAUCUUGGGAAGCACAAGCCAUGGCUGCAAGAGGAGGACAGAGAAUUCCAGGACAACCUAGCCUAGACCAAGAAUUGCUACAUGAAAAGGGAAUCUUGGAAACGAAAUCUUGCGGCAUAGGGUAGAAACGAAAUCUUGGCGGGCUGAAGGCACCCCGAAGCCGGGCAGAUGCUCUACCAAACCAAAUCCAUCCGCCGGUAGCAAAGGAAGAAGAAGCGGGGAGGGAAAGAAGAUCCGGCUAGGGCUAGGAGGGGAAUGCGUACCUGGUCGGGGCCGGAUGCGACGGCGCUGCCCUCAGCAGGUUUGGCGCUAGUGGCGCGGCGGCGUCGCUUGUAGGUGAGGAGGUCGGUCUGGAGCAGGUCCCCCGCGGCGC